UAUGCAGCUAAAAUAAAGAUGGAUAAAACCUAAGUAGAAUAAUAAUCAAAGUUCAGUGAUGGAGGUUUUUAGUUUUCCCUUCUUUGUUUGUUUUUUUUUUUUUUUUAACCUCAGUGCUGGAAGCACUUUCUGACAUGUCAAACCAAACAAAACAGCAAAGUAAUUAUUCAUCGAAUCUUAGAGGCUCAGCAGCAUGAGACACACUCCAGCCGAUUCUUGGUGAAAAAAUAUAUUUAAGUCAAGCUUGUGUUUCCAUCUGGUCCAAAAAUUAUAAAACUACAAAAAUCUAAAUAUAUAUGCAUUUAAUUUUUUCUGUUCAGUAACUCUGUGAACAUCCAUCAGUGAUAUGAGUGUCUCUGUGAUGCUGUGAGAAUACAGCAGUGCGAGUCAGGUUAUUUUGUAUUAAUGGUGUAAAUUUGUAAAGCAGGAGCAGCUCCUGUAACACACAGGUGCUGUCAUGUCGAGUUAGUUUGUCACAAACCGUUUUUGUGGAUUUGGUGUUUAAAACAGCAAAAGGACAAAAGAUGGGAAUUUAGAUCAACCACAGUGAUGAUACUCAUGAAGAAGCAAGACAGCAGAGUGUCAGUGUGGCACCGACUCAUUUUGUCAGAAUAGGUGUUUUAUGUGUGUUUGGACAUGAACGUUUAAGCUCUUAAAUGUGUUUAAAAAACACAUUUUAAAUGAUCCUAUAGGAUACAUGUUAACAAAUAAGAAAAUCUUUUUCUCAAAACAUCAUUUUAGUGUUUAUUCAGAGUAGACAGUAACACCAGCAGAAUCACGGUCGUCUGUCUCUGUGAAGAUUCAUGUUUCCACAUUUUUAGCAUCACGGGUCUUCUAUCAGUUUUGCUGCAGCUGUAUUGUUGUGAUGAACCUAUAAAGUGUAAAGAGAAAUAAAAAAAUGUAAACGAAUUGCCACAUAUUCUCUGUUCUCGUCAGUGCUGUUCCAGAUUAAAUGCUGUUGUUCGACAUUAUAAAAGCUGUGCUGAUGGUGUUUUACCUCUGUGGCAUUUCCAGCAUGAGUAGCAUUAUUUGGAUGAAGAUGCAAGGUCUUGUUCUGAAAUGUGUUGGAUUACAUUAGGUACAGAUCUUUAAACCCAACCCUUCCCCAACAUCUAAAUAAAAUAUAACCUGCACAAAUAAACAAAUAAUUUUAUACAUCAGAAGGCAACAUUGCAGACAGAGGACAGCUACAAGUACCUGGGGAUCCCACAGGCAAAUGGGAACCAUGAAGAGGUCAUUAGGAAACCUGCAACCACCAAGUACCUGCAGAGGGUCAGGCAAGUCCUGAUGAGUCAACAGAAUGGGAAGAACAAGAUCCGGGCUAUCAGCGCCUGUGAUCAGGUACCCUCCUGGGAUAAUAAGCUGGCCAAAGGAGGAGAUAGAAGCCACUGACAUCAAGACAAGGAAGCUCCUGACUCUGCAUGGAGGGUUUCACCCCAAGUCCAGCACCGUGAGGCUGUACGCUAAACGGAAGGAAAGAGGCCGGGGACUGGUGAGUGUCAGCACCACAGUCCAGGAUGAAACAAUGGACAUCCAUGAAUGCAUCAGGGAGAUGGCCCCAAGUGACUGCGUGCUCAUUGAAUACGUCAGGCAGCAGAAACCCAAGAAUGAGGAGGAAGAGGAGGCACCAUCAUGGAAGGACAGACCCCUGCACGGUAUGUACCACAGGCAGAUAGAGGAAAUGGCUGGCAUCCAGAAAUGGAUCGGACAAUUGGACAAAGCUGGACUGAAAGACAGCACAGAGGCACUAAUCAUGGCAGCACAGGAACAAGCUCUGAGCAUAAGAUCCAAAGAGGCUGAGGUCUAUCACACCAGGCAAGACCCCAGAUGCAGGCUGUGUAAAGAUGCCCCUGAGACAAUCCAGCCCAUAACAGCAGGGUGCAAGAUGCUAGCAGGCAAGGCAUACAUGGAACACUAUAAACAAGUGGUCGGCAUACAGAAACAUCUGUGCCGAAUACGGCCUGGAAGUCCCGAAGUCAAAAUGGGAGAAAUUUUUAAAUAACCUUAGACAUAGCACAUAACAACAAAUAAGAGACACUUAACAAAUAAAGGAAACUUUUCUCACAACAGACUUUUAAUGAUUAUUUAGGUAAGACAGUAACAAGAGCAGAAUCACGGUCGUCCACCUUUGCUUCCACUGAAAUGUUCUGAGGAACAGUCUGUAAAUUACACAGAGGGAAAAAAGAUCAAAUGAUUUCACUUAACUGUCACAAAAUCACACCUAUGGCCAGGUUUUUGUGAUACUUUUAUCUUUUUUAAGACAUUUGUUUUAAAAUACAAUUUUUCAAGGCACUUUUGGUAAUUUUCUUUUUAAAAAAAAAGAAAUUAUGACAAAUUAUAGAUAUAUAAAUAUAGUGUUGUUGAUGGUGUUUUACCUGUGUGUCAUUUCCCUCAGCUGAUUCGGUUGCAUCACGUGUACCUUCAAAGCCAUGCCAGCACCCAUGGCACAACUGAAAUUUAUUGAUUUAUAUUAGUUACAGGCCUUUGUACUUCACUUUUCUAUCAACAUUGAAAUAAAAUGUAAUCUACACAAAUAUCAGUGAUUCUUGAGAUAAGGGACAAAACAUGUCCGGCAGAUAAAACCCAAUUUUGUGGUUAAAAAUAUGCAUACAAGUGUUAACCCAACUGCCUAAAAGACAAACCAAGGCAAUGUUUAUACAACAAAAGUAUGAUUUUGCAUUUUUUAUACAUAUAUAUUUAUUUUAAAUGGUACAAUACAUUACCAGUACCUUAAAAAUCCAUUGUCCAAAAGCAGGUGUGAUAAUAUUAAAAUACAGAAAAAAAAUUAAAAGUAAUGUAAAAUUAAAGAUCAUGGCUCUCGUCCCUAAGUAUUUAAGUCAAUACCUUAUAUAAUAUCAACAUAUGCAAUUGAAAAUUUAUUUUUACAUAUUUUUUAAGUGAUUAAAAUCGUGUCCAGAGUUUUUGUCAACACCAUCAGAUUUUUUUAAAAGUAGAAAAAAAUCAGGAAUUAUUGUGGGUAGCUUACACUCUGAGGACCCCUUUACCACUUCCUGUUUGAUACACAUGCCAUGAGGUCACUGCUGUGAUAAUUUAUUUUAUUUUUAUUUCAUUUAUGACACACCUUUCUGAUAAAACUCUGUGUCACGACCAUAGUGCGUCAACACCAAAGUCGAUGUAAACCAAGAUUUAAUUUUCUUUUUUUUGUAAAAAGAGCUUCAUUUAGGUAGAUUGUGGAGGCCAUAAGCAAAUGAUGAAAAACAAGAUGGCUUCUGUCAGAAAAACAUGUUAUGAGAGAAAGUAGGGUAUUUUGUCAACACCAUCAGAUGUCAACACCAUCAGGAUUUUUGUCUGACGGUGUUGACCCUUUUUCUAAUGGUGUUGACAAAUGCCACAAAAGUGUGCUAUUCACCAUUUAUAUUAAGUUAUUUUUUACUAAUAUUUCAGAUAUAUUACUUCCUGUGUAUUUUACUGAUAUUUCUGCCUUACAGAUGUGUCAAAUAUUAUCAAAUUUGCCUUAUCUUGAAUCUCAUUGUUUAUGUAUACAUCAUUAAUCCUGUAGGAAAAUGCUUAGUCCUCUGCAUUUAACCCACUCACUCAGUGAUGCAGUGGGCAGCUACAAAUCCAGGAUAGCCGCUGUUCUUUGGAUUUGAACGCCCAACCUUCCGAUCAUGUGGCAUCUACUGAGCUAGCUGUGCCCCGAGAGCUGGUCUUUAAGUGAUGAUUAAUGAAUCCUGCUUCCGGGCCUAAACUACUCUGUGUUUAUUAAACCUGUUGUGCUGUUAAAAUGUUUUAAUGCUUUUUAUCUUGUUCUAUUACAUCUAAACAAGCCCCUAAAAACCGUCAGUGAUCACUGUCAGCCUAACCAUCGCGAACCCUCACGUUAACUUUUAUCAAGUGGAAAAAGGUUAGCGUUCAUCCUCCAGCUUCACUGUGUUUAUAUUAUGCUAACAUAGCUGUGUCGCUAACGAUCAGAUAGCACAUCACUAUAUACCAGCUAGCCCAACUUCAGUAACCCGACAAAAGUCACUGCUGUUUAGUAUUCUGUGAUAGCAGAGCUGGUAUAUCAUGUUCAGGUGGAAACAAGCAAUCUAACUUCUAACUCUGUUAAAUUUCAUAUAUUCUGUUUUCAUGGAUGCCAGGAUGUUACAUCUGGUAGAGCAGCCACACUGAUCAUUUUAUUAAAGAUGAAAGAAUUUAGACAGUUUGUAACGCUCAGUGAUGCUGCAGAGUUCCUUUGACUUUGGGAUCUGCAGCGGAGUUUGGACCUGGAAAUGGCUAAUGACAUCAGACUUAAAGACCGGAUAGCAUCUCUAUUGCUUAAUGCAUAAUUGUGUUGUGAAUAUUCAUCCUUAAUCUGUAAAAAAGCAUCAGGUUCAGAAAAACUAUAGUAAUUACAAAAUGGUACAUUUCAGGCUAGAAUAGCAAAGGGGAACCUGUCAGUAGAGGAACGAAAGAGAAGGAACAGGGAGUAUCAAAAAAGACGGAGAGAAAAAAUUAACAGCCAGCCCGAGUUGAAGAAAGAGUUUCUCAUAAAGGAAAGGGAAAUAUGGAGAAAUAGAGUGAAAAAGAGAAAAAUAAAGAACAUCAGUGAUCUGAAAGGAAGAGAAAAAAGGCAGAAGAGAAGGUUUUGGAAGAAAGCACAGAGAGACAAAAGGAGAGAAAGUCCAGCAGGGUCUAAACACACAACCACAGAGUACUUUAGGAAUCAAGGAGGAGUAGGCAGCUACUUGCUGGUGAACUAUUAAGAUGUAAAACUUGACAUGUGCAAAAACAGAAUUGUUAUAAUGUGUCUUGUGAUAUUACAAAGGUUGUUAAGGUUUAAUGGUCAUUUUGAAAGAAAUAAUAUCUUGUUUUCUACUAGUGUGUCACCACCGUCAGCACCUUGUCAACUCCAUAAUAUGGAGUUUUGUUUAUUUUUCUUUUUGGAGAACCAUAUAUUUUCCUCCCUCAUGAUCUUCCAAUAAAAAUACGUAAUUUUCUCAAUAAAUGUGUAAUUUGCAUUUUGCUUAAUAUGAUUGUUUCUUAUAGAGAUUAAAUACAAGCUUCUGGAAAUAUGUAUGACUGUAACUCUAAUAAUAAAAAGCCAAAACAAUCUUACUUUUAAAUGUGGUAUAAUUAGUUUGAAAACAUAUGUGCAUAAAAAAUAGAAUAGAGAAGCUGCUAAUAGUCAAAAUAGCUGAAACAACUUAAUUUAAAAUAUAUAUUUUUGCAUUUCUUUGUGUCUGACGGUGUUGACAAAAACCUUGCUCUUCUCCAGCAAAAACAUAAAUUAUUAAAAAAUGUUACACCUGGGAGAUUGUACCAAAACAUGGUGAGACAGCCGAAACUUUGUGUAACAAUUAUAUGUAAAUAUGUUUUUGAAAAUUCAAAAAAUAUAUUUUAGAAAAUUAAAACCUGUUUUGUCCCUAAUCUCAGGAAUCACUGAUAUACAUUUAUACAUGAAAUACGUAUUCAUUAUUUACAUAAAUAAUUAUGUAAAGACAAAGAAAUUCUAAGUCAGGUUUUAAGGUUACACUAAUAUACAGUACAUCUGUGUCACUGUAGCAAUUUGAGCUUGUUGUGUUAGUAAAAAUGCUUUUAGGAGUCAAUAUAAAACAGAAUUCACACAAUUUGUGUAGAUAUUUGGCUACACAAAGUACUUGUUGAUGUGGAUGAUAAAUUGAUCUUAAAAGCAAAUAUAAAAAAUGAAUAUAAGUCUAAUUUUACUCCGUACUAGAUGAUCAAAGUCCCAACUCUGAAGCAAGUCAUAGAUCUGUUUAUUUUCCUGGUAUUUCAAGGCCCGGGGCAAAGAUUAUAUCCGUAAAAGGGGUUACAAAUAUAAUUCCAUACACCCCGUCAUGGGGCAAUUGUUAUUUAUUGUUGUUGUUUUUUCAAUUAAAAAAGACAUCUCAUGAUGAUAAGGAAUAGUCUCAGUUAUAUGUUAGUAAAUAGAGUCCAGAUUGACCUCUUUAAUAGUGAAAAAUAUUAAGUCUUUGUUGUGAAAGUUCAAUAUAGUUUGGUAGUUUUUCAAAGAUUUAAUUUAAUUUUUAUCUUACCACUGAGAUUAUGGUCUUUUCUGAGUUGCCUUCAUUAUGGACCUGAAAUGAAAGUGGAUGACAUUUAUAAUAACGUAUAAAGCUCAAAAUUUAAUAUGGCAGAUUUGUAAUAUAUAUUUUCAACAUUUACAUUUUUAUCCCAGCGCUGGAACAGGUAGAAAAACAAAAUAAAAUAUAAUCAGUAAUUUUUUUUUUUUUUUUUACGUAUUUAUUUUGACUUACAUUAUUCUUUGCUGGUGCUGUGCUUCCUUCAUGCAGCUGAAAUUAAAAUGAAUAACACUUUCAGAACACUUUCACAGAAUCCUACAAUAUAAAGCCAAAAUGCAGGGCUGGAGGUUUUUAUUUUUCCCUGUUUUUUUUAAAUAAUGUUUUUCACUCGAUGUUUGAAGGUUAUUUCAAAUCAAACAAUGCAGCUAAAUAAAAAUAAAGUUAAUCUCAGUUAAUCAGCACCAGCAUGAGACACACUUCAGCUGAUUCUUGAUGAUAAAUAUAUCUAAAUAAAUAUUUAUGUAGACUGUCAUUUGUUAUAAGCUUUCAACAUAUCUGUGAACAUCAAACAGUGAUAUAAUAUUUUCUUACCGAAGCUGUGAGAAUGAAUCCCACCAAACAGAGCAGUGUGAGUCCUCUCAUUUUGUAAUCAGCCUCCAGUGAGCAUUUAGACUUGUUUUAUAAUGCAUGUGUUUGUAGGUGGAGGCUGUUUUACUUCAGCUCUUGUUUAACAUCAAAGUUCAAAUUUGUUCAGAUUUGUUUGCUUACCUGCCCAAAGUCUGUUUUAUUCUCAACAACAGGGCAGAUGUUAAUUUGGUGAUAUAGAUACACACACACACACACACACACACACACACACACACACACAAACAUAUGUAAAAUUACUAUAAUUCACAGAAGUUUUCCUAAAGACAUUUCCUUUGUUUCUUGUAUUCAUAUGCAUUUUUAGAGUGUAAGCAGGUAUAAUGUAAAGCAGUACUGUGACUUUUUUGGUUCCACAUUUUCAUAGUUGUGUCUUAAACCAAUAAAACCCCAAGUUGUUUGGUUUUCUGUCACAUUUCACAAAGAGAAGCAGCAAGUGCUCACACUAAGAAGUUGAGAUUUACUGUAAAGGACAAUGACAAGGAAAAACAGAAAAUAAAGUGCCCUGUGUGAAUGUCUCUAGAUUGCUUUGAACAACAACAACUAACAAAGUCUAUUUAAUUUAUUUAUACUGCACCAAAUCACAAUAACAGUCGCCUCGGGGCAUUUUAUAUUGUAAGGCAGUCCCUACAAUAAUACAACAGAGAAAACCCCAGCAAUUAUACGACCCCCUGUGAGCAAGUGCUUUAGCGACAGUGGAAAGGAAAAACUCCCGUUUAACAGGAAGAAGAAAAAACCCAAAUUUUAUAUGUGUGUUAAUAUAUAUGGAAUUUGACGCAAAAUUUGAAAUGAAGUCAGAUUUUAUAACAAGCCCAUAUGAAACCCAAAUACACUGCAAAAAAAAUUGUAAAAAUAUAGAACAAUGUUCUGUAUAAAUGUGAAGUAUAUUAGCCAUUUACAGAUAUUUUUUCUGUAUUUCUUAACUACUGCAAUGCAUUGUGGGAGCAAGAACCCCAAAAGAAGGGAAAAGUAAGAGCAAGUGCAGCCAUUACACUUUUUUCAGGCUUCAUUUGGAUUUUGGACUUUGGAGCUGGAGAAACUGCCUUCACAUUUCUGUGGUAAAUAUUAAAGCUUUUGGGUUUUUUUAAAUUAAAAUAAUGUUUUUCAAAAGACAAAGUUUUUCAGGGUUUAACAUGACUUAAGCUUCCCAUUUUAGUUAAUAUUGAAGUUAUUUGUCGUUAUGAUACCACCAACUUUGCCCCCCAGUGUCUGGACCACUUUUCAUAAAUACUAUAGUUAGCUGUCUGCUUCUCUCAGGGUUUUACACAGCUGUGACUACCAGCUAGCUAAUUAGCUAAAGUCAGAGAUGUAGAUAACUGGGAAAAGUGAAAACUUGAUGGUUCUACUGAUGUAUAGACAAGAAAAAAAGAGUAGCUUUGUUUUACUCCCAGUGUGUUACUCCUGCCUCUGGAUUUAUGCUGCUUUAUUAUUGGACCAUCAGUAAAGAUUUGUUACAUUUAGUUCAUUGCAGCACAAUAUUAGUUGCGACACAGUGAUAGAUGACCACACAUGCUCAUACUCACACCUGCAUGCCUUUGUGGGGCAACACGAGUACCCACACAUACACAGAGAAAAAGCUAUGGCCAGUCAGCAGGUUCAAACCCAGGACCUUCUUCCUGUGAGGCCACAGUGCUAACCACUAUACCAUUCACACCAACCACAUUAGAAAAAAACCGAAUUUUUCACACAGUAUUUUUUUUCUUUUUUUUUUGUGAAUUCACAAUUAAAAUAAGCAGCAGCAGAAUGAAUAAAUGGCCUGGGCUUCUUCAUGUUGGCAGUAUUUCUCCUUCAGGACUUCAGAUGUGUUUGCUCUGUUGAGUUGAACCAUCUGCUGUGUGUUUUCACUUUUGUGUGUUUCCCUGGAAAAGAUCAUAUAAAUUAUAUUUAAUAUAAAAUUCAAGCACACCUAUGAAUACACACAAUGAGAAUAAGUUGUUGUUCUUGGGUAUAAUGGCUGUUUGUCAGAUUCAUUUCCAUGUUACUCUAACAGCAGCGGAUGUCAGCAGUAUUUAAAGGUCUUUAUUUUGCUGCAGUUUCUUACUUUGUUGUCCUUCUGGGGGCUCUGUUGGAGGGGCUCUGUAGGAGGGAACCCAAAAUCACUUUCCACUGGCCUAAUGGUGCCAUUCCACUGAUGGGAUUAAAAAGGAAGUCAGCCACACUUUAUGUUAAUGUGAGUCAGAUGAUAAAUGCAUCUUCAUCCUCUUGUAUUUCAACACUUUUCACGUGUCAGUCAUUGCUUCAUGAAACAUACCUGCGCAACAACUUUAUUUUCUGCGGUUUCCUCUUGUGGCUAAAAUAAGAGCACAUUUGAACUUUAAUGAGGAAACAGGUUCCAAUGUUUGUAAUCAUGUGUUUGUUUAUUCCUGCAAGGUCGUCGACUUUGGACUUCAAAUAAAACAGAAACAUAAUCAAAAAGCUAACCUCUCCCUUAGAAAUAGCAGCAGUUUGAUACAUGAGCACACUUUACAAUUGAAAACUACAAUUAUAUAAUAAAAAACCCGUAACAAAGACAUUUUUACUUUGAAUAAUUAAAGUAAGAAUUCUACUCAUAUUUGAGCAGCACUGCUUAUAUUUGUAAAAAUCUAAUUUGAUUUUAAGUUUCACCUAAACAGAUUAAAACAUGAAACACUCAAAGUUCACGCACCACUGUUGAGUUGGACGUCCCGUUUGUACCUCCCAUUGGCCUCAUAUGUAAAUAUCCAGCCUAAAAAAUAUAUUUAAAGCAGCUUUAGUUAUAACGUGUUCACUUCCAUUUGGCAGAUCAUAUAAAGGACUUUUUUGUCUUAAAACUUCCAAUGCUUAACAGAAUAAGCCUAAAAUAAUCAUUUUCUGUCACUUAACUGACACAUCAUGAUCAAACAAACAGACUUAUACCAAUUUAUCAUCUAAAAAAUAGAAGAUAUUGAGAUCCAAAAGCAAGCAGAGAUUACACAUUUGUUUAAUUAAUUAUAUGUAUUUUAAUUAUUAAGAUUGCAGGAAUGAUUAAGCUGUGUAUUUGUUUGCAGUAUUGAGUAACAAAGCAAUUUAUUGCUUACACUCAUGCUGUCUGCAACUCAAUUAGCUUAAUAAUAUAUUAAUAUUAUUAAUAGACAUUUAAACUGAGUAAAAACUUUGAAUGGGCAUAAUUGAUUUUGCAAUGAUAUAAAAAUGAUUGUAUUUUCAUUACCUUACAGAACAGUGGCAUUUAGUAUUUUUUAUUUUUCCUCACCUCUGCAAAUGAAAAGUCUGUCAAAGGCAGAUCUGUCAGUGCUGCCAGAAUAAUUCCCACCAUAAGCAGUGUGAGUCCCCUCAUCUUAAAACAAAUCAGCCUCCUGAGUGCCCGAUGUCUGCUUUGCAGUCCCAGUAAGAGGAGUUUGAAUUUAUGGCUUCACUUCUAGGUUAAAGUCCAACUCUGAGUUUAUUUUGUGUUAUUUUCCUCGCCUUCCCUCGUGACGCUUUCUAUGUCAAGUUUGAGUUUGU
Long non-coding RNA from Oreochromis aureus, 10085 nucleotides. NCBI's taxonomy places the organism in Eukaryota, Metazoa, Chordata, Actinopteri, Cichliformes, Cichlidae. The record is from Ensembl.